Long non-coding RNA from Haemorhous mexicanus (house finch), 2383 nucleotides. RefSeq lists it as uncharacterized. The transcript is spliced from 3 exons. The record is from RefSeq and is a predicted model, not a curated record. Lineage: Eukaryota; Metazoa; Chordata; Aves; Passeriformes; Fringillidae.
CUGGUAAGGAAUUUAGUGGCUGGCUUAGGUGCCAUCCCCCUUGAAUGCACCGAGGAGUUGUAACACCCGUUUAGGAAGUGUCAAAAUGAAUCACUAUUUAACAUGCGCUAUGUGCAGAACUGCCACUAAAGUACGUAUUAAGGAAAUAAUAAACCCUCACUAAAUGACGAAGGAGACACCUCUGGAAGAUGAUCACUGUGGACGUCAGAGUUUUUGCCUGAGGAGUUUUGAGCUCCUGAGUCUUCCUGAACUCUGCACGGGGCUGCUCAUUGUUUUAUCUUUACCCAGCCCUUGCUGGGGGCAGUGCGGGCAGGGCAGUUUGGGCCGCUGACUCCUUGGAGUGUUUCACUGCCAAAGCUGAAGGGGCAGAGGGUACCGGCCCGGUUCCAUCGGCCAGGGGCGUGUUGUGCUGCCGGGACAGAUGUUUUAAGUGAUCACUCAUCAUCCGAUAAACAAGCGAGUAUUUGGAGGGUGUUUUGUUAUGAUCUUCUCUGAGAGGGUGUAAAUGAUUCUUUGAAUGCUUUUACUGUAGGAAAUACCCUUCAGCAGAAACCAGGACGGAGCUUGUCUGCUGCCACAGGAAGGCUCGUUUCAGCCGCAGCUCACUGCGAGCCUUUCUGUGCCUGCAGCAGUCUGGUCACCGCAGUGCCCGGGUCUGGUGUGCGGGGGGCGGCAGCAGGGUGAGCUUCUUUCCUGCUGCUCCUGGAGGAGAGGAUAUCCUCUCACGCUGGCUGGUGGGCUGGCUUGAAGAGGCAGCGCAGCUCCUGCUGCUCACACGCGGUAAGAGAGUCCUAGUCCUGUCACCACCCGGCUCAGCCCCUUCAGACUGCAGAGCUCCCCUUUGCCCACCGCGGGUGUGAGUGACAUGUCCCUGUGCUGGGGGAAGGGACGAGCUGCCUGCUUUUCCUGAAAGGUGCUGGUGUUGCUGGUCCUCCGGGUUUGCUUUCCUCUCGCACACGAGCCUGUGUGCUCAGGGUUACACAACAGGAGAGGAGCUGAGCCACGGGAGAGGAAGGAAUACAGGCCAGGCUGUGGUGGAGUAAUAAAGGUUUUAAGUUUGGUCUGUGACACUUUCUAGGUCUGAGGUUCUGCUUGACUUCAGGCCAAAUUAUGAGUUCCUCCACUGCCAGGCUGUCAUCCUCCCUACCUAGCAAAGGACUGUUUUGUUGAUGUUCCUGAAAGAUGAUGAUGAAGUGUAAGCUCCUCUUGUUAUCUCACUGCUCGGGGCACUAAACCCAGAAUUGUCCCCCAGGGGCUGAAGUUCCAGCGGUGCCGAGCUAGUGAGGGACAGCCGGCACUAACCUGGCCCGUGCAGGAAUCUGCCCGAGACCUCCCGGCCAUGAGCGAACACGGGGCCAGUGGAGCCUCGUGCGCCGGGCACCGCCGGGUCAGCGAUCCAAGGAUCCAUUGCUCCCUCCCUCGGCCCGGGCCCCUGCUCUGCCCUAAGUCCGGACCCCCGGGUCAGCCGGGCCCGGAUCGGCUCGGGACAUGGCCCCGGCGCGGUGACCGCUCAGCGCCAGGGGGCGCUCGGGCUCCCCGUGCCUUCCCGGGAGCGCCCUCGGUUCCCGGCGUCCGGCACCGCUGGGACCGGCCGCGCACACAGCCCGGGGCUCCCCCCGUGCCUUCCCGGGAGCGCCCUCGGUUCCCGGCGUCCGGCACCGCUGGGACCGGCCGCGCACUGAGCCCGGGGCUUCCGGCACCGCUGCCCACCCUGGGUCCGUCUUGUCCUGCCGGGAGCCGCGGCCGUGCUGCUCCUUCCCCCUGAGCUGCCCAGGAUUGAAUCCUGGCGUUAAAACGCUGGGAAAAGACGCACGUUAUGUUUCUGAAUAAGGACCAGAAUAUUAUGCUAGGCAUUUUCUACUCCUUGUUUAAACCACAUUUUUUUUACAGGAAGAUACUUGGAAAUGUCGCAAAAUUUGGUUUCUUUAUCUGAACUGCAAAAUGAAUGCUGACUUGUCUCCAUUGAUCCACAGACACUUGAGCAGCACAAGAGAGGUGGGAAGAGUCAUUCCUGAUGAGAAAUGGAUUUUUUCCUCCUGCGCUCAUUAUUGUAGAGGACUGUCAGUUUCCCUUGGCAGCCCGUACAAUGGGCUUGCUCUCUAAUAAAUGCAGAUGGCAUUAAAUUAACGUUUCAUUCCUACAGUGGCAAACAGUGGCAUCCAAUUCCAGCACAGGGUAAUUCAAUGACAAUAUGGCAGCAGACAUGUACCUCGCCUGUUAUGGGCUAAUCAGUGAUGCAGAGUUCAAUUUGGACUCAAAGCAUCCACAUGGCUUGGAGUGAGUUUAUUAACAUUUAUUAGCUGGUGAAAAUGAGGUGGAGAGUGCAAAAUGAGAGAAUAUGCAUAAUAAUAAAAAAGAGCCAAAAUGUAUAAAAAGCAUAAAA